AUCCAGCUGAUGAGUCCCAAAUAGGACGAAACGCAUGUCCUGGAU
Schistosoma curassoni is the source of this 45-nucleotide non-coding RNA. The record is from Rfam. NCBI's taxonomy places the organism in Eukaryota, Metazoa, Platyhelminthes, Trematoda, Strigeidida, Schistosomatidae.